UUAGGAAUCUUGCACAAUGGGCGAAAGCCUGAUGCAGCGACGCCGCGUGGAGGAGGAAGUCCUUCGGGAUGUAAACUUCUUUUAGGGGAGAAGAAACAGAUGACGGUAUCCCCUGAAUAAGCCCCGGCUAACUACGUGCCAGCAGCCGCGGUAACACGUGGGGGGCGAGCGUUGUCCGAAGUUACUGGGCGUAAAGCGCGCGUAGGCGGGCUGUUAAGUCGGAAGUGAAAGGCUGGGGCUCAACCUCAGCAGUGCUUCCGAUACUGGCAGUCUUGAGGGCGGUAGGGAGAAGUGGAAUGGCUGGUGUAGCGGUGAAAUGCGUAGAUAUCAGUCGGAACACCGGUGGCGAAGGCGGCUUCUUGGGCCGUUCCUGACGCUGAGGCGCGAAAGCCAGGGGAGCGAACGGG
RNAcentral lists this ribosomal RNA (407 nucleotides) under uncultured bacterium. RNAcentral's name for it is "bacterial SSU rRNA". It matches the Rfam family "Bacterial small subunit ribosomal RNA", at positions 355 to 776 of the family's 1533-position model. The record is from RNAcentral.